CCCUAUGGGGUGCAGCAGGCGCGAAACCUCCACAAUGCGCGAAAGCGUGAUGGGGUUAUCCCGAGUGCCGUCCGAUGAGGAUGGCUUUUCAUCGGUGUAAGGAUCCGAUGGAAUAAAGGGGGGGCAAGACUGGUGUCAGCCGCCGCGGUAAUACCAGCCCCCUGAGUGGUAGGGACGAUUAUUUGGCCUAAAGCGUUCGUAGCCGGCUUAUCAAGUCUUUUGUUAAAUCCAACGAUUCAAUCGUUGGGCCGCAAAAGAUACUGUUAUGCUAGAGGACGGGAGAGGUCGACGGUAGUCCAGGGGUAGGGGUGAAAUCCUAUAAUCCUUGGAGGACCACCAGUGGCGAAGGCGGUCGACUAGAACGUGCCUGACGGUGAGGGACGAAAGCUGGGGGAGCGAACCGGAUUAGAUACCCGGGUAGUCCCAGCUGUAAACGAUGCGGGCUAGGUGUUGGGGUAGCCACGAGCUACCCCAGUGCCGCAGAGAAGUUAUUAAGCCCGCCGCCUGGGGAGUACGGCCGCAAGGCUGAAACUUAAAGGAAUUGGCGGGGGAGCACCACAAGGGGUGAAGGCUGCGGUUUAAUUGGAGUCAACGCCGGGAACCUUACCGGGGCUGACAGCAGAGUGAAGGCCAGACUGAAGAUCUUGCCAGACAAGCUGAGAGGAGGUGCAUGGCC
This 676-nucleotide ribosomal RNA is filed under the name uncultured crenarchaeote. Its description in RNAcentral is "bacterial SSU rRNA". It matches the Rfam family "Archaeal small subunit ribosomal RNA", at positions 321 to 999 of the family's 1478-position model. Lineage: Archaea; Thermoproteati; Thermoproteota. The record is from RNAcentral.